RNAcentral lists this long non-coding RNA (1819 nucleotides) under Anas zonorhyncha (Eastern spot-billed duck). RNAcentral's name for it is "lncRNA (ENSAZOG00000003740.1)". Lineage: Eukaryota; Metazoa; Chordata; Aves; Anseriformes; Anatidae. The record is from RNAcentral.
AAAGAGGGACGCGUGCCCCCCACCUCCGGUCCCGGUGCCGGUGCCGGCCCCGCCGAGCGCUGCCUCCCGCCGCCGCCCGGGCUUUGCGCAGCCGCGCCCGGUGCGCGGGCACCGCCCCUCGGGCGUCGGGACCCCCGGGGACCCCCCCCCGGUGAUUGGGGUCGGUGAAACGGAGGGGUGCGACCCCCGCUUCCCCUUCCCCUUCCCCUCGUCCCCGUUCCCCGGUAGCUCCCCGGCCCCGUUCCCGGCUGCGAACGCGGCGCCGGGCGGAGCGAGGGGAACGGGCGGCUCCGGAGAGCGCAGCGGGACCCCAAAAACGGGACCCCAAAAAGGGACCCCAAAGGGGGGAUUUUCGACCGGGAUCCCAAAAAGGGUCCUCACGCCGGGAUUCGCUCCCGGGAUCCCAAAGCGCGAUCCCAAAGUGGGAUCCCCACCGGGAUUCUCCCCCCCGGGAUCCGGCACCAGGACCCAAAUCCAGGACCCCCAGCAGGAUCCCAAACUGGGAUCCCCACCGGGAUUCUCCCCCGGGACCAAAUUCCAGGUCCCAGUACUGGGAUCCGGCACCGGGACCCAAAUCCAGGACCCCCAGCAGGAUCCCAAACUGGGAUCCCCACCGGGAUCCUCCCCCGGGAUCCCAAAGCGUGACCCCGAACCGGGAUCCCCACUGGGAUCCUCCUCCGGGAUCCCAAAGCGCGACCCCAAACUGGGAUCCCCACCGGGAUUCUCCCCCCCGGGAUCCGGCACCAGGACCCAAAUCCAGGACCCCCAGCAGGAUCCCAAACUGGGAUCCCCACCAGGAUCCUCCCCCAGGAUCCCAAAGCGCGUCCCCAAACCGGGAUCCCCACUGGGAUCUUCCUCCGGGAUCCCAAAGCGCGACCCCAAACUGGGAUCCCCACCGGGAUUCUCCCCCCCGGGAUCCGGCACCAGGACCCAAAUCCAGGACCCCCAGCAGGAUCCCAAACCGGGAUCCCCACCGGGAUCCUUCCCCCGGGACCCAAAAUCCCAGGAGGACCGGGAUGCUGCACUGGGACCCUGCACCAGCACCCCAAACUGGGAGCCCCACUGGGAUCUGCUCCUGGGACCAACACCAGGACCCCACAACGGGAUCCUGCACCAGCGCCCCAAACCAGGACCCCAAACUGGGAGUCCCUCCUGGGACCCCAGACUGGGAUUCUCUCCCAGAACCCCAAACCAGGACCCCAAAGCGGAAUCCCCAAACUGGGAUUCUCUCCUGAAACCCCAAACUGGGAUCCCAAACCGGGAUCCCGAACUGGGAUUCUCUUCCAGAACCCUGAACCAGGACCCCAAACCAGGAUCCCAAACUGGGAUUCUCUCCUGGAACCCCAAAAUGGAACCCUAAACUGGGGUUCUCUCCUGAAACCCCAAGCCAGGAUCCCAAACUGGGAUCCCAAACCGGGAUCCCAAACUGGGAUUUUAUCCUGAAACUCCAAACUGGGAUCCCAAACUGGAAUCCCAAACUGGGACCCCAAACCAGGACCCCAAACUGGGGUUCUCUCCCGGGAUACCACACCAGGCCCCCCCACUUCCCUCUCCCAGGACCCCAAAGUGGGAUCCAGACCCCCCCCAGUGCCCCCAUACUGCUGUGGGGCUGAGCUGCACGAGCCCGGCCCCAUACUGGGAGCACCCCAAUACCGCGCACGGGGCUCUGAACCAGGCCCCCCCACUUCCCUCUCCCAGGACCCCAAAGUGGGAUCCAGACCCCCCCCAGUGCCCCCAUACUGCUGUGGGGCUGAGCUGCACGAGCCCGGCCCCAUACUGGGAGCACCCCAAUACCGGGCACGGGGCUCUGAGGGGGGGG